RNAcentral lists this ribosomal RNA (3333 nucleotides) under Triticum aestivum (bread wheat). RNAcentral describes it as "partial small subunit ribosomal RNA". Lineage: Eukaryota; Viridiplantae; Streptophyta; Magnoliopsida; Poales; Poaceae. The record is from RNAcentral.
CGCGGGCGGGAAAGGGGUGAGCGCGGUCGGUCGGUAGCGGGCGAACGAAGGGGCUGAACAGAUGAGGGUGGUGGUAGUCGCGGUAAAGCGAGAGACUGAGCUAGGAGGAGGGAGGAGGAGAUAGGGAGGGAGAGGAAAGCGAAAGCGGAAAGACGGCCGCACGCGUGAAUAGACGAACGCCCCAGGCCUGCCGCUGCCCCCCACGCUCAGGCCCGCAGGUAGGUUUCGGUCGAAGGUUCGUCCUUGGCCAGCACAGCGAACGAUCGCCCCCAUCCACCCAGCGGCCCGUCGGUCGGCCGCGGUCUUCGAGACGAACAAGAACUGGAGCGGCGGAGCUGAACUGCCCCGUGCCUUAAACCACCACCCAGGUACGGAGGAGGAAGCGGCGACGGAGCCGUGGCCGUCCUCGCGGCGCCCACGCCGACGACCCGGCACGACUGCUCCCCGGACGCCCCGAGGACGAAGGCGGGCCGCCGCCGCCGGCGGCGGCGGGGCCGGCCCCGGCGCCAGUUUCCGCCGGUACAGAUGCUGCGUCCACCGACUAAUUUAAGGACGAGAAAUAGGCCUUCAGAACAGGAAAAAAGGACCAACCACCCUAGAGAAACAGACCAAGGCCCUCGCUAGUCGACGAAACAAGAGAUCGCUAAUGUAUGGCGGUACUACACUAUCGACACCAUGAACUAUGCUACAACACAAGCAGCUCGUUUCCAUGUUCUUUGUGCUCCUAGUCUACUUAAAACGAAUCAUAAGGGUAAGAAACUACUUCCUAGGACAGGAACGAUCGUCAUAUUAACGGUCGAGAGUGUUCUAACACGUCGUGACUUGAAAAAAAUAAAAUGUAGCUUAACCCGAAAGAAAGAACCAAGGACUAACUCUCAACUGGUAGUUAACUCCUUUGGAUAACUUAAAUUGGAACGAAUAAAGUGGCUCCGCAGCUACAGGAUUAGAAUUUGUCGAUCACGGUACCGUCGUAUAUAUACUCGAACCCGAACACAGAAAUUGAGAAAAAUACCUACCCAUUCAUUUUCCACAAGAAACAAGAUAACGCUCUAUCGUUAGGGGAAGUUUGGUUACCAAAAAACGACGAAUAGAAAUCCACGUUCAACACAAUACGUUAAGUGAUAUCAUUAUUAAGACUGAUCGUCCACUCUAAAAACGACUGGUAACACUGUAUUGACUUCUUUGUGUACACCAUUUAUGAUGAUGUCUCCGUACUUAGUCCGGAAACAAGGAAGCCAAGUCCCUCGUUUGAUGUAGAUUAAUACAACGAAAGACGACACUGCGAGUAGUAACUGUAAAACGGAUUCGAAUGGAUCGUCAUAUUCUUUGUAUAAGUACUAUGGAGUUAAGUUGACCUAACUAAGAAAAAAGGAAUUAUUUUGGACUCCUAUUCAUACGGAUCAUAUAUUAUGAGAACCAGAACCCAUCAACCCGUAUACAGGUAGAUGAAACAAUUGGUCAAACCUAUGGACCCCUUCAGGUUCUGGAUUCUUUAUAUUCGUAGUCGUUUAUAUAAAAUAGGAUCGAGUGUGUAAACUCGCAUUAGACUCACGUCGUAUAACGUGAAGUCUCACAUGAUCAUAUUGGUACGGUAGAUGAAACAUCAGAGGUAACCGUUUAAAGGUCAAACCCCACUUUACGAGUUGGUAAAAGGGGUGAGGUACCGUCGCCUCUGUUCUAUGGAUUUGAGAUCGUUAGCUCUAGAACGUCUAGUAAAAGUCUCCUUCGAACCACUUCUUUUACCACAACUGCGUAGUUAACUCUUCUUUUAUAGUGGGUUCGAUGAACUUAAGUGAAAGGUUCUCGAAUUUAGACGGUGACAAUUGAAAUCUGGUCUGUCAUAAGAGCCUCUUCCACCUAAACCCAUACAGAAGUUCCCCACCUAACUCGGCUUGUCGUGUCGAGGACGUUUCGGGCCGUGACCAGACUGACAUCGACAGUUUUCAGACUUCCUUUUACGAGAAGUUCCAGUAUCUCUUACCCACCGCCUUCAACUGAAAGACCCUGUCGACGUAGUGUUUGUAGAACAAUUCGACUAACCUAUGACAUAACUCCUACUGGUUUCUGACGAACAUAUACUUAAGUACCGUGCCCCUUCAGAUCUUUUAGUAGAAAAGUCUUCCUGAGAAGGGGAUGGAACCGGCACGUCCUACUUCCAACAAGAACCACGACGAUUUCCAGAUCGGAAGGAUGUACAACCAGGCUUUGGUCAAUAAAUGUCCCUAAAAUUCUGUAGUUUAUAAGAAUAGCUACGCCUAAUGUUAAGUUUUGAUAGUCUAAAACCUAAUCGUUUUCGACCAGGGGUUCCACUAUUUUGGGUACAGAGAUGAGCCCAAGAACCGUGGAUACCGAUGCGACGCGGACUCAUACAUUACUGUCCGGUGAACUGUUGGUUCUCGCUGCACAUAUCGAAGCCUCAGCACGAAGAGCUCCACGACUGACCGUCCUCUAGUCACCUGUUCUUCGCUGGAGGCCCCCUCGUCUUGGAGCAACGUACCCGCUCCGGCAUAGACUCGCUGGCCGCUUCCGAGAUAGUCGAGCAUCUGGGAGCGGACCCCGACUUGAUAAGGCAGUCUCCCCAAGUCUUCCAACGUGUCUAGACGGUGGUGACGGAGUUGGCACUGUCGUUCAGCGCGGGCUACUACCUACUUCAGCAGUUCGUAGACUGAGGCGACGUCCUGGAGUUGCUGUACCGGCGGCGUAGCAUAUCCGGGGCCAGCAGUGGGGCGCCUUUCCGCGCCGCCACUAACGGUCAGACUCCGCUGUCUUUGCCGUAAAGAUACUAAAGAACCGUAACAACCUACGACCAGGACAAAAUUGACAUGUCCCUUUUUUUCUAACCCGAGGUACAGGUAGCUGCUUUUAACCUCGAGACUGUGGGUACAGAGCGAAUCUAGUUAGUGUGACAAAAACGGACAACGGAUUCGCCUGGCUGCUGCAACAGACUAACACUAUACAACAUUAUUAUUGCUCAAUUAUAGACUAAACACAUACUCUUACCAAACCGGACCACCGCCACAUACGGUCACGGUAGGGUCACCAGAACGACCUCAAGUAUCCCCUUCUCUACCAACGACCGAACGACGACACCAAAGACUUGGACGACGAAACACAAACCACGAAUCCCUACACAAACCAACGUCCCGACAGGAGGGUCCUGUUCCUAUGGGGGAAAAACGAUACCAACGGUGGACAAACCUAGACUCCCGUUCCUUCCCAUCCCCGUCGAUCUACGAGCCUUAUAAGCAGUUUUUGCCCCGAUACCAAUCGACACUUUUUCACCGCCCACUGCCGUUGGUCGGGCGUGCACUCGUACUUUGGGAGUGAAAGGUG